AUAUCAAUAAGCGGAGGAAAAGAAACCAACAGGGAUUGCCUCAGUAACGGCGAGUGAAGCGGCAACAGCUCAAAUUUGAAAUCUGGCGCUUUCAGCGUCCGAGUUGUAAUUUGUAGAGGAUGUUUCGGCCACGACCCGGGGAUAAAUUUCUUGGAACAGAAUGUCAUAGAGGGUGAGAACCCCGUCUUGACUCUGGUGUACGGGCCAUGUGGAACUCCUUCGACGAGUCGAGUUGUUUGGGAAUGCAGCUCAAAAUGGGUGGUAAAUUUCAUCUAAAGCUAAAUAUUGGCCAGAGACCGAUAGCGCACAAGUA
RNAcentral lists this ribosomal RNA (313 nucleotides) under uncultured Phialophora. RNAcentral's name for it is "partial large subunit ribosomal RNA". It matches the Rfam family "Eukaryotic large subunit ribosomal RNA", at positions 40 to 350 of the family's 3401-position model. The record is from RNAcentral. Lineage: Eukaryota; Fungi; Ascomycota; Leotiomycetes.